UUGGGAAUCUUCGGCAAUGGGGGGAACCCUGACCGAGCAACGCCGCGUGCGUGAAGAAGGUUUUCGGAUCGUAAAGCUCUGUUGUUAAGGAAGAACGAGUGUGAGAAUGGAAAGUUCAUACUGUGACGGUACUUAACCAGAAAGGGACGGCUAACUACGUGCCAGCAGCCGCGGUAAUACGUAGGUCCCGAGCGUUGUCCGGAUUUAUUGGGCGUAAAGCGAGCGCAGGCGGUUAGAUAAGUCUGAAGUUAAAGGCAGUGGCUCAACCAUUGUAGGCUUUGGAAACUGUUUAACUUGAGUGCAGAAGGGGAGAGUGGAAUUCCAUGUGUAGAGGUGAAAUGCGUAGAUAUAUGGAGGAACACCGGUGGCGAAAGAGGCUCUCUGGUCUGUAACUGACGCUGAGGCUCGAAAGCGUGGGGAGCGAACAGG
Molecule: ribosomal RNA, 429 nt
Filed under: Bacteroidota bacterium
Lineage: Bacteria; Pseudomonadati; Bacteroidota
Description: Bacteroidetes bacterium partial 16S ribosomal RNA
Rfam family: Bacterial small subunit ribosomal RNA
Source: RNAcentral